UUCGGCUCUGAAUAUUUAUGGCUAGAUAAGGUACAAGUCGUAACAAGGUUUCAGUUGGAGAACCAGCUGAAGGAUCAUUU
This 80-nucleotide ribosomal RNA is filed under the name Enterocytozoon bieneusi. RNAcentral's name for it is "partial small subunit ribosomal RNA". It matches the Rfam family "Microsporidia small subunit ribosomal RNA", at positions 1232 to 1311 of the family's 1311-position model. The record is from RNAcentral. Lineage: Eukaryota; Fungi; Microsporidia; Enterocytozoonidae.